ACUACUACCGAUCCUUUCAUUAUUUGAUACUCAAACGUAACGUAUACAAUAGAGAGAGAUCCAAAAUGGGAAAAAGUUACAAUACAUACACGAACACUAGCUACUAGCAAAUUUUAUAUGUUGUGUUUUCAAUUUUGUGAGAUGUCUCAUCUCCAAAAGAAAUGCUGGACAGAAUCUUGCCAGGAAAGCACAAGCAUGAGCAUGACCAAAAUCCCAGCGAGUCCCCAUGACGAAGCCCCAAUUCUGAGCACCCAAGAAGGAUCGGGAGAUGGAAAAACUGAUCCUCUCUCCAUUGAAGAAGAAGAAGUAGUAGUUUUGAUGGCAAUUAUAAGGACAGCUAGAACCAUGGGAAGAACAAAGCUAGAGUUCCAAUAUUUUGUCUCAUUAUGAAAUAUUGUAUGGUGGUGAUAACGAUGAUCGUUUUUUAUUGUCACAUAGAGUGGCGACAAAACUAUAGCUGAUACCAAAGCCAACCCCAUGGCGACUGCUCUUUGUGAUGAUGAGUUUUGGCCUGCGUAGUUGUAUGCAUUAGCAGCCAUUGAAAGAAGUGAAUUAAUUAAAUUAACUCUCUCAAUCCUGCAGGACUACUAUAUAUAAGAAAACCAACUUGGUGAUGUGGAGAAAAUUGAUGGGGAGUUUUAUAGGAGGAAGAAGAGAGAACAAGUGAAGGAAUCUAGUUGUAAAGCUUGUGAUUUGAUGACAAAAGUGAUGGAGUCAUCAUAGACAUAGCCGUCCAAAAAGUGAAAAAAGGAGAUGAGUUAUUUGGAGAAAAAGGCAAGAGAAAGGUGAGAAAGCAUAGGUAAAUGAAGAAAAAGGAUUGGAAUUCUUUGGAAGUAAGGUAUCUUUAAUUUGGUGUGUUCAUACAUGUCUACAAGGCACUGCUAGCUGGAAUCACUUUUGUGAGAUACAUACAUACAUACAUACAUACAUACAUAUACUGCCUCAUUGCGUGGCCUGUGUCUUAUUGUGCUUGGAAGUAUAUGUUUAUAAAUGCAUGUUGGUUUGUUCGCAAAACAAAUGUAUAUUAGUGUAUUAUUAUUAUUAUUAUUAUUAUCCGUAUGAUAUACACAAGAAAGUAAGUGAAAAAUACGCAUUAUAGCUUAUAUCCGUUUAAGUUUUGGUAUGCAUAUUUAUAUAUACAUAUACUUACGCCUAAUACAUGAGAGCUCAUUUAUACAAUUCGUGUACUGUAUUAUCACAAAGAGAGUCUUCCAUGCUCCUUGGAGCACCAUAUAAGUCACUAACAAAAGGAGUUUCAUUUUUCCAUUCUUUCUUCACCAAUGGUUUCUCUCUCAUUCCAACUUAAAUUGUCACCAAAAUCAUGUGCUGGCAGCAAGAAAAAUAAUUUCAUUUUUUUUUUUUGGCAGAGGGAGAAAUGAAACAUUUGGGUUCCCUUAUAAAUUGUUUCUACUACUUGAGUGAGUCUCUCAUAUUAUGUUUAAUAUCUCAUUUAAUACUUAAUCUUUUGUUAAUUAUUUGUCUAACAUUUUUUUCUUUUUUUUAACAAACUUGAUCUCACUCUCUCUAAAAUCAAAUAUACUUUCCGAGAAUAUACAACUAACUAUACCUACCUUAAAAGCUCAUGACCUAAUCUCUUUUUGAGUAAAUUUUAUUAACGUGAUUAAUAGUUAAUAAAUUAAAAAGUAAAAAUAAUUACAUUUUAUUAUAUAUUAACAUUAAAAUACAUGUGUCACAAAAUUUAUAAAAAAUCAGGAGAGUUUAAAUUAGGAGAGAAUCCUAAUUUAAAAAAUAAAAAAAAACAUGUCACGGUUGUAAUAAUGAUUAAUUGACUAUUAAUUGAUCAGCUUAUUUUGCUGACCCCUCUUGACAUUUUAAUGGAUAUUAAAUUGUUAAUUUGUUAUUAUUUUGUUUUUGGCAGUUUCUAAAGACGUACAGGAACCUGCAUAAUGCAUAAGGAUGGCAAUGGGGAGGGGAGGGGAGGGGACCAAUCUCCCCGAUAUUUUGCAUAUGUCCCCGUCCCCUCCCCAUCCCCGUCAAAAUUAUUUAAGAGAAUCCUCAUCCCCUCCCCGAAUAAUAACAGGGGAUCCCUGAGGGUCCCCGAUCCCCGAAUAACUAAUACAUUUUUUUUAUUUUCGAUUUUGAGUUAAUCAUAUUAAAAUAAAAAAUACAAACAUCAAUCGAGAGACUCACCCUUCUGGUGUAAAGUGUAAACAAUCGUGACAAUCCACACCGUCGUCGGCUCCCCUCUCUUUGCUCUCUCUCGUCUCUUGCCCGCCAGGUUUAGGCUCCAUUUGGUACAGCUUAUUAAAUAGAGCUUAUAACAAUAGAGCUUAUAGCAGUAGAGUUUAUACCAAUAAAAUUUUUGGAUAAAAAGUCAUUGGGUAUUUAAUUGUUAAUAAAAAAAAUAUUUUUAAAUCAUUAAACUGUAUGAUAUUUUUUUUAUUAUAUAUUUUUUAGAUAAGCUCUUUAACUUUUACUUCCAAAAGUUCAAAUUUUGAGCUUUUACUAGUAGAGGUAAAUUAGUUUAUUUAAGCUAAAAAAACUCUACUAAAAAAAUAACCAAACAUCAUAAAAUUUUUUAAAAAGUACUUAUGCGAUUAAAUAAGCACUUAUGACUCUUAAAUAAGCCAUACCAAACAGUCACUUAAUAUAUUUUGUCUAUCUUUUUUUACUAUUUCACGAGGGGAAGAGAGGGCUGGAAUGUUUGGGCCGUAACGACCAAUGGGCCUUUGGCCCAAUAACGUAAUUCGUGAAAACCAGUUGAAAAAUAUAAUGAAAUAGAGGAGAAAAUAAUAAUUGAAUUACUACUACCGAUCCUUUCAUUAUUUGAUACUCAAACGUAACGUAUACAAUAGAGAGAGAUCCAAAAUGGGAAAAAGUUACAAUACAUACACGAACACUAGCUACUAGCAAAUUUUAUAUGUUGUGUUUUCAAUUUUGUGAGAUGUCUCAUCUCCAAAAGAAAUGCUGGACAGAAUCUUGCCAGGAAAGCACAAGCAUGAGCAUGACCAAAAUCCCAGCGAGUCCCCAUGACGAAGCCCCAAUUCUGAGCACCCAAGAAGGAUCGGGAGAUGGAAAAACUGAUCCUCUCUCCAUUGAAGAAGAAGAAGUAGUAGUUUUGAUGGCAAUUAUAAGGACAGCUAGAACCAUGGGAAGAACAAAGCUAGAGUUCCAAUAUUUUGUCUCAUUAUGAAAUAUUGUAUGGUGGUGAUAACGAUGAUCGUUUUUUAUUGUCACAUAGAGUGGCGACAAAACUAUAGCUGAUACCAAAGCCAACCCCAUGGCGACUGCUCUUUGUGAUGAUGAGUUUUGGCCUGCGUAGUUGUAUGCAUUAGCAGCCAUUGAAAGAAGUGAAUUAAUUAAAUUAACUCUCUCAAUCCUGCAGGACUACUAUAUAUAAGAAAACCAACUUGGUGAUGUGGAGAAAAUUGAUGGGGAGUUUUAUAGGAGGAAGAAGAGAGAACAAGUGAAGGAAUCUAGUUGUAAAGCUUGUGAUUUGAUGACAAAAGUGAUGGAGUCAUCAUAGACAUAGCCGUCCAAAAAGUGAAAAAAGGAGAUGAGUUAUUUGGAGAAAAAGGCAAGAGAAAGGUGAGAAAGCAUAGGUAAAUGAAGAAAAAGGAUUGGAAUUCUUUGGAAGUAAGGUAUCUUUAAUUUGGUGUGUUCAUACAUGUCUACAAGGCACUGCUA
Molecule: long non-coding RNA, 3648 nt
Filed under: Citrus sinensis (sweet orange)
Lineage: Eukaryota; Viridiplantae; Streptophyta; Magnoliopsida; Sapindales; Rutaceae
Description: long non-coding RNA (CSIN_LNC000339)
Source: RNAcentral